CGUAGGUGGCAAGCGUUACUCGGAAUCACUAGGCGUAAAGCGCAGGUAGGAGGUUUGGUAAGUCUGUUGUGAAAGCUCCCGGCUUAACUGGGAGAGGUCAACGGAAACUACCAGGCUAGAGUGCGGUAGAGGUAGCUGGAAUUCCCGGUGUAGCGGUGAAAUGCGUAGAUAUCGGGAGGAAUACCUAUGGCGAAAGCAGGCUACUGGACCGCCACUGACUCUGAUCUGCGAAAGCUAGGGGAGCAAACAGGAUUAGAUACCCUGGUAGUCCUAGCCCUAAACGAUGCUCAUUAGGUGUGGGAGGUAUCGACCCUUCCGCGCCGAAGCUAACGCAUUAAAUGAGCCGCCUGGGGAGUACGGCCGCAAGGUUG
Molecule: ribosomal RNA, 371 nt
Filed under: uncultured organism
Description: bacterial SSU rRNA
Rfam family: Bacterial small subunit ribosomal RNA
Source: RNAcentral